UCGAAACCCUCUUCCAUUCGAAGUCUGACGCCCUUGCGUAAAGGACGUGUGUGUGGUGUGCAUUCGGUGUUUCUCAAGUGUGUGCCCCCCUCGAUUCAGGACCCGUCGUCGUAUACGUGGUGUAGUUGUUACGCCCCGGGUUUUUUCGCCAUCCAUUCAACGGCCGUAGAUUUGUCUCCAAGGAGUGUCGACGAGACCAAGAUUAUAGGUCUCCUAAUUCGAAUGAAAAAAAGUUGAAUCCAUAUAGGUGGUGGACGUCGUCUAGAUCUGUAGUGCUACAGUGCAAAUAGGAACAAAUUGUGGCCGCAGACACAAGUGGAACGAUAGUACACCCCCACCGGAAGUAUUAUCCGGAAAGUGUCGGAGAAGAGAUUCCGAGUUGUGUUUCAAGUGUUGCAACAGUUACAGAUGGGAUUUCCGGUGUGAAUGGAUCGUUGGGUCUCGCUGGAAAAGGAGCCCGGUUCUUGAGAGGCAGCAUAGCCGUCUGCCCUAGAAAGUGUGUGCGAGUGGCAGAAGAGCGUUCCGGAAACCUGUGCCUGUGAAAUUCCCGGUGUGAGUGUGCGUACCUACGAUUCCUACCGAAAGCGCCAAGCCAAGUAGAUUCUGCGGCAGAGUUGCAGUGAGACAGGAUUCCGAGAAUCAGAAAAACCCACAGUUCGAGUUGAGUGAUCAAAUUUGCUAGUACCGGAACAGUGUCCCCCGGGAGCAGCAUCCAAAAUGACGAAGGACAGAUUAGCAGCGUUACAAGCGGAUAUAGCGGCACAGAGUGACGAUGAGGACAUGCCGGAAGAUGUGGCCGUCCCGGUGGAGGGCAGCUUUAUGGAGGAUUUUUUCAACGAGGUGGAAGAGAUCCGUAUCAUGAUCGACAAAAUCCAGGCGAACGUGGAAGAGGUGAAGAAGAAGCACAGUGCCAUCCUGUCGGCCCCACAGUCAGAUGAGAAAACCAAACAGGAACUCGAAGACCUAAUGGCCGAUAUAAAAAAAACUGCCAACAGAGUAAGAGGGAAGCUCAAGGGUAUCGAACAGAACAUUGAGCAGGAGGAGCAGACGAACAAGUCCAAUGCCGAUCUUAGGAUACGGAAGACACAGCACUCGGCGCUGUCACGCAAAUUCGUCGAGGUGAUGACCGAGUACAACCGGACUCAGACUGACUACCGAGAGCGGUGCAAAGGAAGAAUACAACGACAAUUGGAAAUUACGGGUAGAGCGACGACGAACGAAGAACUGGAGGAGAUGUUGGAACAGGGCAAUUCAGCCGUGUUCACGCAAGGGAUUAUCAUGGAAACCCAACAAGCUAAACAAACGCUAGCCGAUAUCGAAGCACGGCAUGCAGAUAUUAUAAAAUUGGAGAAUUCAAUUAGGGAGCUACACGAUAUGUUCAUGGACAUGGCGAUGCUCGUCGAGAGCCAGGGUGAAAUGAUUGAUCGUAUAGAAUAUCAUGUUGAACACGCAAUGGAUUAUGUCCAAACAGCGACACAAGACACAAAGAAAGCGCUUAAAUAUCAAAGCAAAGCCCGCCGGGUCCUUCCGAGUUUUUCUUCCUCCGAACACGGUCACGUGGUCGCCGCUUCUUCCUCCUCUGCCUCUUCCGGUGCCGGCGGGGCUACCCGUUACUCUAAAUACCCUCCUUCUCCGGUUCCCCGUUUGAACCGGUCCCAAUCCCGUUCCUGCGAAAUCCUCACCACACCCAAAUUCCCACCUCGUCGGAAACUGAAUCUCCUCGCCCCGCCACCAUCAUCUUCGUCGUCCUUAUCGGCUGCUAAAUCGCAAUCGACUGCCGAUUUGCGCCAUCUACAUCCGGCGACGACGGCUUCCGGACCAACGUCGAACGAAAGGGCGAACUGGUGGACCGAAUUGAGUACCACGUUGAGCAAAGCGGGAACUAUGUGGCACAAGGUCAACAGGAACUGGUUCAGGCGAACAAGUACAUGUCCAAAGCAAGAAAGAAGAAGAUCAUGAUCCUGAUAUGUCUCACCGUACUCGGUCUCAUUGCGGCCUCGUACGUCAGUAGCUACUUUAUGUAAACGGUGCCAGCAUCAGCAGCGGCGCAAUAACAACCAACAAGAGCAACAUCAACAACAACAACAACCACUACUACUACAACUACUACUAUUACGACCUGAUCAAAUCCGGGAGGGAAGAAAUUAUUAGAGACGAAGAAUCAAUCUGAAGAAAAACUGUGAAUUCCAGUAGACUACGGUGUAAGACUGUAGCGUAAAAUAACACCAUCACCGACAAAGAUCAUCAGCAAAAUCACCAACAACUAUCAAAAAUACAAAACAAAUCUAUUGCUACGUCAGUGCUGUUGUAGUGCUCCCAACCGGAAGCACAACGAGAUAUAUCAUCAUCAGCAGAAUAGUAUUAUUAAUACGAAAAUAGUAAUCGCUCCGUAUUAGCCAUUAAGCACAGUGUCUCUCAAUCUAUCACUCGUGUGUCUCGGCGAAAGUUGGUCAUAGGGAAGAAACGUCGAAGCGAACAUAUUACUCUUUUGUGAUCCCUCGGUUAAGUCGUUUGUUUUUAUCGCGUCGAUUCCACGAGCUCCAGGCAGCAGAACCAGAGUACGCUGAGAAUGGAACAUCCUCACACCACUAAACCAUGCAAAACAUCACCCCUCACCAACUGUUACCACCACUGCAUUUGUAUAAAAGAACACUACACAACAUUCGAUCGAGCAUUAUCUCCGCCAGGGGUUCUAAACGACAAUGACACUUAACAACACAAUUGAAGUCUGUGAUGGAGAAGUACAACCAAAUGAGACGAUGCACCGUUCCUGCACUACCACGAACAAAAAACCGAAAACAACCACAAAUAGCGCAAGGCACGUGCGUUCACAUCCACAAAGAGGAAGGAAAUUCAAUACACGUGCACUAUCCCCGCAAGAGUAUCCAUCUCCCGUAAUAUCUCUCUUUGUCCUGUGUACGUCUGUAUUCUUCGUAUCUACUGUGUUGCAAGUUACACAAUAUAGAGUUGUCCGGGCACAACCACCAAUACCACCAAACCAAGUCAGCUGACAAAGACCACCCCGCUAGAAGUGUCAGUGUAGAGAAUGUCCCCUCUUGAAACCAUCACCACCACCACCAUCACCAACAAUACUACUACUGCUACUACUACUACUACUUCAUCUACUAUCCUACCGCUAUGUACUGCUACUGGUAGUACUACCAUUACUCGUACUUGAGCAAGUCAAUAUCCCGUGUAAAAUAAUCAGAAGAAGAUCAUUAUCCUGAUAUGUGUGAGCAUCCUUCUGAUAGUGGUUGCGUCAACGAUUACCGGAUAUUUCGGUUUUUAAGCAAACAAAUAAUAAAACAUCGAUCCUAACCUUGGAGUUGGAGAAGAAGAUCAUUAUCCUGAUAUGUGUGAGCAUCCUUCUGAUAGUGGUUGCGUCAACGAUUACCGGAUAUUUCGGUUUUUAAGCAAACAAAUAAUAAAACAUCGAUCCUAACCACUCACACAAAAAAAAUAGCAAAAGCAAAAAGAUUGUAAGAGUUAUGAUUAUUGGUGAUAGAUGCGCCCCCACAUCGAGAGAAUAUCUUCGCUUGUCACAUCAAAUAGUAAAACAAGCGCAGCCAACCGAGGACUGCGUUAUGAUGUAUGCAUUUACAGGAUGGGUUCCCGCAUAGGUCCCAAGCUUUUUUUUCUACUUUCGUUGUGAUUAAGUAGGAACCCCCAUCGUCGGAAGAGUUACGUAUUUUCAUUGUCCAGCAGCAACAAUCGGUUGUCAUCGGAGGCAGACAAGUAGUAGAAGCAGCAACAGUACACUUAGAGCAGCAGCAUAAAAAAAACAAUUCGGGAUUCGCGUUUCUUUGGAAGGCGAGCAAUGCGACAUAUUCACCAGAUGAUUCGUUCUCUGCGUGUUCUUAAUGGUCGGUGUGUGACCCAAUCAUACUUCUUGAAUAUCGUCAAUAACCUGGGCCCUGCAGUCCACCUAAAGCAGAUAGACAGAUCAACUUAUCCAGCGGCUUAAUAACUGCGACUGGUAAACCAAUGAUUACCGAUGAAAAAAGCGAAAUGAAAAUCCAUAAAAUGUGUGCGGAACAUACAGUUGAAACAGAACAAUUCAAACUUAUUAGUGGUGUGGUGCUUUCCAUUCAAGAUCUCAAACAUGCUUAUACAUACCGUGUGGAAAAAGCUUCUAAACACACCCGCUUGUUGAGGGAAAAAUUUCUUUUUUAAGUUUGUCUUUAAGGUUAUAGAAUAAGUUGUUCGCUGCCGAAACGCGACCGUAUGCAUUCCAUUCGAUUCGUCGCGCUAGUUUACCUUUGUUGUUGUUUUGAAAUCUUAGGAACAAUCAUACUCACUGUAUCUAGUCAAACCAGGUGAUGCCCACGAAAGACGACACGCUAUAAUCAAGUCGCUCUUAGUCUAGUUCAAUACCAAAAGUAAGCGCAUACAAACACAAAAUGGGCCCCGAUCGUGGGCGAUGUUAGGUUUUAGUUCGAAUGUGUAAAUACUAUUUAGAGGAAGUUUGACCCUUGAUUUGUUAUAAAUUUGUUUUAGUUAAAGCUAUUCACGCCAUUCGGGAGCUGCAAGCUGAUUUCCGCGGCAGGGUUGUUUAGGUACGCUCGUUCUUAUUCAAAAAAGUUACAACUUUUGCUUGCGAAAUCGGAGUGUUUUUAGGACAACGCCUAUGACAUAUGGAUUGGGCGAUUAGAUAAAAAAUCUUUUAAAAAAAAGGAACAAAGCGGGACAUUGUGUGUGUUGGAAUGUCCCAGUUAGAGACGCCUCCUUAGCAAUAAUUCAAAGAAGGAACACUUCCAAUUGACGUGACAAGCAAGAACAAUUCAUAGACAAACACACACAAACUAGGGAAAGGGUUGUCCGUUGGGUUCGGUUGGCCACCGCCGUUGCGAGAAUCUAUCGAGUGUAUAUAAUGGAGGGUGGGAUCGCCGAAGAUGGUCAGCCGAAACCGGGGAGGACACGUUAUUGAAACCAUGCAAGGACAUUAAGAUUGGCUUAAACAAAACUCUCUAUAUAUGCAAGCAAAAUGUGUGUGGCAAAGCAAAAUUCAAAUCAACAGCGAGCGAGUUCGAGAGGUAGCGAUUGUUUUUUGACGCGCGAGCGUGUGUGUAGAAGCUUACAAGAAGCAGAAAUUAAAAGUGAUGAUUAGGAAACGCGAGAGAGUAUCGGAAGAAAAUCAUGACACGAACAGUAAUAAAAAGAGGAAGAAAAAUUAAAAAAUGUUCAAGAAAAUGUGUGAUAAUAUUUAAAGAAUAAUAAUCUCUAACAUUAAUUUGGGAAAACAAAAAAAAAAAGGAUAUACAAGAGGAAGCCUAUAGAUAUACUACUUACGUACACACUACUACUAUUCACGGGACGAGACGUUCAGACGGGAAGUCAGACGGUGAGCGACUUUUGUACUGCUACGAGGUCUUUUUCUUAGAACUAAUGACAAAAGUUCGAAAGACAAAUGGUCCAAUGAAACUAAACAGAAGACAAGGUCCAAUUUAAUUUUUUUCAUGAUUUUACACGAAAAACUCAAGCAUGGAAUUUUCUAAGAAGAUCACUAAUGCGUUUGCUCUCGCGGGAGAGUUCAUUGAUUGAGAUUUGAGUGUGAGUCUAUCAAUACUGCAAACUAGGUCUUCGACAGAUUACAGUUUAAACGGAACCCGUCAUGGAAAGGCAGAAGAUGCAUUUCUAGCUGGAAAACUCAUUCCUUCCUAGAUAUUAUUUAUUGGACAGAAUUAAUCCUUUAUUCGUCAUGGCCAAAAGCAUUUCAUUAACCAAAACGAUACUAAAGUCUUGUUCUUAUUUAGUAUUGAUCGAACGUGAAGUCUUUUCAUUCAAUACUUUUCAGACAAGAUGGUAUCCCAAAAUGAAACCUUCUAGUUGUAAUCAGACUUGAUAAUACUCCUCAACAUCAUCAGAGUUCGGUAGCAUGAGCAAGAGCAGCGUACAGUCCUUGCCUCUUUGCGAGGGAGCGAAAAAAUACCAAGCAUAGAGGCAACGAAAAAUGAGCGAGGAAGAUGUGACACAUAACACAACGGACGAGAUGAGGAUCUGUGUUGAAAAUUUCGAGUUUAAUUUUUACUCCUCAGAAAAAAAAAGCAGAUUCUGUAAAGCCUGUGGAGAACUCAUCCUUCUUGAAGAAUAUCGUUGGAAAAAAUCAAUAACUUAUUCGUUAUGGCCAAAAGCAAUUCAUAACCAAAAUGAUACUGACGCACUUUUUCGUAUUUAGUAUUGAUCCUACGUGAAGCCAUCAGUGACUGAUCAGAAGAGAUGGCUUCCCAAAAUGUAAACUUCUAGUUGUAAUCAGGCAUGAUAAUACUCCUCAACAUCACCAGAGUUCGGUAGCAUGUUCUAGAGCAGCGUGCUGUCUUUGCCUCUUUGCGAGGGAGCGAAAAGUUAGCAAGCAGAGAGGCAACGAAAAAUGACCGAGGAAGAUAUGACACAAAACACAACGAAGAAAAUUUCAUAAAAAAGAGUGCCAUCACAACUCAGCGAGGUCUGUUUCGGUCGAAAAGGUCACUCAAGAGUUUUAAAGUGUGAGUAAAGGUGAGCUUAGAAGCAAGAGAUAAAGAGUACAAUGCACUCGAAUCGUUUGAAGAUUCGUGCUGUGAGUUUAGAGUUCAAUUUUUACUCCUCAGAAAAACCUCGAAAUCGAUCCAUUUAUGCAUCACAGAACAGUUUCUGUCAAACCUGGUUGUAAUCUGAAAAAGAGACUUCUGUCGUUUCCAACAAAGGACUGAGAAUUGGACUACACGUAAAACACCCGAAUUGACACUGACACGGAUAUUCAUCAUUAUCAACAUCAUUGUCAUUGGCGUAGCCAGAGCGGAUUGUGGUUAACCCCCAAAAAUUCUCACCUCGCUAGGCAGGCACUACGCUAAGCGAGCUGAGUGUGGCAUUUGUGGGGACACAAUCCGGUCUUGGUACGCCAAUGGCUCAUCGCAUGGUAUGGCAUUCUUGUGCACAUACGGACUUAAUAUUUCUGAAUUUUAGGAAUUUAUGUCCUCAUUUGAUGUAUGUGCAUGCACUACGCUCAGCGAACUAAGCGUGACUUUUAGGGGUUCACAAUCCACUCUGGCCACUUCAGAAUUUUGAGAAUUUACGUCUUAAUUAGAUGAAUAUUUUAAAACAAUCCGUUCGGAUUAUGAUACCUGAAAUUAUGAAUCCUAAUACUUAUUAACGGACAUAAGUAUUACUAACAUCGAUUCGUUUUUCGAACGACAUUUACCUUGCUACAGCCGACAAGCUCUGUACUUCGGGAACGGGUUAUUUGGCAUAAAGCCAUUUGGCAUAACGCCUUAUGGAAUAACGGUCAUUUAACGUAAUGACCAUUUGCCAUAAUCAGAAUUGUAGCCCUUCUUUCAACAUAUGGCUGUUUUUUGAUAAAGAAAAAAAUUAUGACUAAUGUUAAUUAUGCCAAAUGUGCUUUAUGUCAAAUGGCGUUAUGCUAAAUGAACUUACGCCAAAAUGCUUUAUGCCAAAUGACCCAGACCCAUGCACAGUGGGUAUUCGCAUAACAUUCACAUGCAUAUAGGAAAUCCCAUAAAACAGGGGAUUGUUAUUCGAAUGUCGGCAGCGCAGAAACUAUGUAAUCGAUAACGGUUUAGGGAAAAAAUGUCGAAAGACAAAACGUCAAAACGGCAUUUUCGUCAAAAUUGAGUUGAGCUCAGUUUUUAACAUCUCUUCCAAUGCUCUUUCAGCUGCACUAAUGAAAUAAUAUGAUUUGUUUGGUAAGAAUAGAAAAAAAAAACAGCAGGUCAAAUUGUCCCAUAAUGAAAAGCAACCGCAUAUCAGUCCACUACAGAUUUUCGCACCGUGAAACACAAACAUGGAGCUUGUUUCGAUCAAUUUUAUAUUUUUCUCGGAAAAAUAUCGUAGUAACGAGCAAGUUGUGAAUGUUUCAUAAAGAUUGGAAGAUGUUCCAAUCCUCUUGAUUUUUUUGAAUAUUCGUAUGGAAACCGAGUUUGAAAACUUUACAGCCCAUUUUCUCAAUGCUCACUUUUCACAGAUGGGACUGACUUGCGAUUCACGGCAGCUUAGAUUCGAUAUAAUCGGAAGGAACCAACCAUGCGUUUUGAAUUCAUCCCUCAAAUACCAGCGACUUUCAUUCAUUCACUCACACACUUAUGCAGACACGCGCAUACUCGACGCGCAAAGCGGGACGACACUCGGAGAAAGACACGAAAUAAAAAAAACAAAACAUGAGAAUCGUACUAUACUGCCCAGAAAACAUUAAACUUACGAAAGUGAGAUUUAAGAAUUUUACAACAAUUCACGAUAAGAUUCUUCAUUAGUAGGAAACCGAGAACAAACAAAAAUAAAAACCAAAAAACGCAAAAAUCGAGCAGAAAUUUGCUAUCCACACUGUACAGUUUACAAAGCUAAUACAAUCGUUUUUGUUGAGGUUAUGACUGUUGCUUGCGUUUUUUUUUUUGGUUAUGAGUUUUCAAACUUCCGUGUGCUAAUGAAAACAUCAAUAACAAGGGAAGAGGAUGAUUUUUCUCCGAUUUCUGGAGCAGCAAAAUCAUCCCAAGAAAACGGGAGACUUGCGAUUAGGUUUGAUUUAAUCUAUUUGUUAAUAAGCAUUGUUUUGUUGACAGGAACAAAAGUGAGUGACAAGUUAUCAUUAUUACAAAGAAAUGCAGUCUAUAUAUGUAGCAUUUGAAAAGUAAUGUCUGAUGAUAAUACAAAAAGGAACUAGCCUAUUAAUUUAUAUUAGUUAUUUAUCUUAAAGACGAAGCAUGUAAGAAAGAGGUGAACAUAACAAUUAAAAUCUUAUAGCCGAAAAACUAGUCAGAUAUAAAAAAGCAACUCACGUAUAGAACAUCUGCAAAUCGCAAAAAAGCAACCAAUUUAAAAUCAGCGAAAGACAAAAUGUAAUUCAAUCUUCUUCCUCUCGUGGACAGCGAAUUAAAAAAAAAUACAAAAAGAUACUUUGCGAAUAAGAUCAAAACACACACACGAAAGUCCUAACAGAAAAUGAAUGCACACAAAAUCAAUAUCACGUCAUCUAGGAGAAAAAAAAAACACAAUUAAAGGCGAUCUGUUGUACAGAAAGUAUUUUUUCUCUAUAUUUCUCUAUAUCAGUUAAUAACUAGUAAGGUUACCAUUAAGAACAAAGUAUUUAAAUAAAAAAAGAGAAUAAUUAAGCUACUUGGAUGGCGAGAAGCAUUGACGAACUGGCCAAUGGUGGCGCUGCAGGCGAGUGCCGUCGCGUACCGCCUUCUACGUUCAAGCACUGUAGAUUGUGAGGAUUUUACCAUCACACACACACCCAAACAGACGCCGCUCGGCUCUCGAAUCAUAACGUUUUCCAUAUCUAUAUUGAAUCGAAAAUUUAAAAAAAGCAAAACCAUUCAUUUUUUAACCCCGUUUGAGGAUUCGAACCGUUUUUACAACUAGAUGGCGCGACAGUGAGUCACAAUCAGCGCCACCUUGGAUGGGUCGGCUAGAGUGGGAGGAUUAGCAAAUCUAUAUAAGCGCAGCAGCAGCAGCAGCAUCAUUGUGAGAUAUAAAAAGCAAACAAACAAAAAUCGACACGUGUUAAUUUUAAUUUUUCCUCCUAACCCUUUCUCUUGUAUUAGAUAAGGCAUUUAUUUUUUCUUGAAAUCUUGAUGUUGAUGAACAAAACUUAAAAAAAAAAUAUUGCAAAACGAAAGCGAAGCAACCGUUGCUAUAUAUUGGGAGGAAACGGCGGGAAAGCGUUUGACAGAAGUAUAAAUAAACAGAACAUGUUUAGAGAAGGAUCGUGUAUAUUGUUACAUUUAAUCGUAAGUCCAUUUUGAAGUUACUGACAAGUUAAUGAAGAAUCUCUCUCAAAAUAGUGUUGAAAGAAUCGUAGGAAAAUCAUUCAUCUCUAUCUACACACGCAGUGGAAGGAAUACAAUAAAAAUAUCAGUUAGCCCUCCCUCGGUUUGACAGCUGUUUAUACAGGCCAACACAUACACAGACACACCACCUACACACAAUCCCAUACACUGACAUCACUACACACUGAAAAUAAAAUUCAAACAUAGCCACAAACACACUUUCAACUCCACACAUACACACACGAACAUAGAAACGAGAUGAUGUAUUAACAAUAACCUAUAACAGUGGAAAACAAAUAGCGACUAACGAAGAAAAAUCAAGAUGAAAAAUGGACAAUUGAAAAUUGGUUUUCAUGUUAUUUAAUAAAAAAACGAAACAAGUUAAUAAGAUUAAAGGAGAAUCAAGUGAUGGCUUUCAAAAUUAUAUAAAAGAAAAAUCUAAAAAAAAUAAAUAAAGUUAAUAAAAGCUAACAAUUUUCGCCUUUUGCAUUUAAAGAACACACACAUACACACACUCUUACAAAACGAACAUACAACACACAUACAAGAAAACAUCAAUGCUAGCCAACAACCAGUGAUUAGGAAAAAAGCAACAAUACUAAAUUACACUUCUCUCUGUUUCUGUCUCUCUGAAGAUAAUAGGAACAAUGUAAAAGAAAACACUCUAACACGUACACAAAACAAGUCACAAAAAACAUAAAUGAUAAAACAAACGGAAAGACUUUGAAAAUUUUACCGCACUCGUAGGAAACGACACCGUUCAAUUUCUUCCUGGUAGAUAUCCCUGUCUCAAAGGCAACGCAAAUAUGCUACACUCACAAACAUUGAUCAAUCAAACACACGCAGAAGGAACGUGUGCGUGCGAAUCAAUCGAAUCGCCCAACUUUGUGCGACCCCACCGGUCACGUCUCGAGACUACCACACCUCUUUACUACAACUACUGAUAAAACAAGAAAACUUUCUUUCCCGACUCACACAAAUCAACACAAACACACACGCAUUUCGAUUGACGAAUGUAGGAGAACUCUUUUCGUUCUGCCCGACUCCCUCUGGUAUCUUCACUUCAAGGAAUAGAACAAAACACUCAACUCUAGAACAAGAAUUACAACAACUCGGGGGAGACUUGUAGUACCCGAAAGUUAAAACCAAAAAAAAACAACACAAACCAACCAAGAAGCAAAGCAAAUGCAAACAAAGUGAGAGUAACCGUGUGUAAAACUUGUCAAUUUUUCGCAUAAAGAAAUGAAACAUCUACUAAGAAAAAUCGAAAACCAACAUUUAGGAACAACAGCAAACAACAUCAUCAACAAAACAACAAAGAAAAGACAAACAUAGCUUCAAAGUUUGAAAAACAACGCAGCAUUGUCAGACAAAAGCAAACUUAUCAGAAAAAAAACAGCCACCACCAGAAGUGAUACAGGAAAUAGAAAAAAAAAACUAAACACAAAGGAAAGUGCAAACAUCUUCCUUUCCGACUACAUUCAGUAGCAAUAGCAUGCAAAGUCGAAUCCUGUUCGACGCAUAAC
RNA transcript from Aedes aegypti (yellow fever mosquito), 11281 nucleotides. It is a transcript of the gene named syntaxin-1A, with no coding region annotated. The transcript is spliced from 13 exons. Lineage: Eukaryota; Metazoa; Arthropoda; Insecta; Diptera; Culicidae. The record is from RefSeq and is a predicted model, not a curated record.